UGGGGAAUAUUGCACAAUGGGCGCAAGCCUGAUGCAGCCAUGCCGCGUGUAUGAAGAAGGCCUUCGGGUUGUAAAGUACUUUCAGCGGGGAGGAAGGGAGUAAAGUUAAUACCUUUGCUCAUUGACGUUACCCGCAGAAGAAGCACCGGCUAACUCCGUGCCAGCAGCCGCGGUAAUACGGAGGGUGCAAGCGUUAAUCGGAAUUACUGGGCGUAAAGCGCACGCAGGCGGUUUGUUAAGUCAGAUGUGAAAUCCCCGGGCUCAACCUGGGAACUGCAUCUGAUACUGGCAAGCUUGAGUCUCGUAGAGGGGGGUAGAAUUCCAGGUGUAGCGGUGAAAUGCGUAGAGAUCUGGAGGAAUACCGGUGGCGAAGGCGGCCCCCUGGACGAAGACUGACGCUCCGGUGCGAAAGCGUGGGGAGCAAACAGG
This 429-nucleotide ribosomal RNA is filed under the name Chloroflexota bacterium. Its description in RNAcentral is "Chloroflexi bacterium partial 16S ribosomal RNA". It matches the Rfam family "Bacterial small subunit ribosomal RNA", at positions 355 to 776 of the family's 1533-position model. Lineage: Bacteria; Bacillati; Chloroflexota. The record is from RNAcentral.